GAGUUUGAUCUUGGCUCAGAUUGAACGCUGGCGGCAUGCCUUACACAUGCAAGUCGAACGGCAGCACGGGAGCUUGCUCCUGGUGGCGAGUGGCGAACGGGUGAGUAAUGCAUCGGAACGUAUCCUGGAGUGGGGGAUAACGUAGCGAAAGUUACGCUAAUACCGCAUAUUCUGUGAGCAGGAAAGCGGGGGACCUUCGGGCCUCGCGCUCUUGGAGCGGCCGAUGUCGGAUUAGCUAGUUGGUGAGGUAAAGGCUCACCAAGGCGACGAUCCGUAGCAGGUCUGAGAGGAUGAUCUGCCACACUGGAACUGAGACACGGUCCAGACUCCUACGGGAGGCAGCAGUGGGGAAUUUUGGACAAUGGGGGCAACCCGUGAUCCAGCCAUGCCGCGUGAGUGAAGAAGGCCUU
This 410-nucleotide ribosomal RNA is filed under the name bacterium enrichment culture clone ALO1_GLFRUDD03HAGIR. RNAcentral's name for it is "bacterial SSU rRNA". It matches the Rfam family "Bacterial small subunit ribosomal RNA", at positions 9 to 418 of the family's 1533-position model. The record is from RNAcentral.